GGACUCAUACGAGACUGCCGGGGUCAACUCGGAGGAAGGUGGGGAUGACGUCAAGUCAUCAUGCCCCUUAUGUCUAGGGCUGCACGCAUGCUACAAUGGCUGGUACAAAGGGCUGCAAUACCGCGAGGUGGAGCGAAUCCCAAAAAGCCAGUCUCAGUUCGGAUUGGGGUCUGCAACUCGACCCCAUGAAGUCGGAGUCGCUAGUAAUCGCAGAUCAGCAACGCUGCGGUGAAUACGUUCCCGGGCCUUGUACACACCGCCCGU
RNAcentral lists this ribosomal RNA (264 nucleotides) under uncultured Actinomycetes bacterium. Its description in RNAcentral is "uncultured actinobacterium partial 16S ribosomal RNA". It matches the Rfam family "Bacterial small subunit ribosomal RNA", at positions 1135 to 1397 of the family's 1533-position model. The record is from RNAcentral. Lineage: Bacteria; Bacillati; Actinomycetota; Actinomycetes.